Molecule: non-coding RNA, 1763 nt
Organism: Arachis ipaensis
Lineage: Eukaryota; Viridiplantae; Streptophyta; Magnoliopsida; Fabales; Fabaceae
Source: RefSeq, a predicted model, not a curated record
UAUGAGAGUAGCGAUUCAUCAGUAAUUUGACAAUUUUUAGAUAUCACGCAUUCACGCUUACCAACCAUACAGAAAAACAGGCACAUUUUUGAAGCGCAGCUAGUUUUUUUUUUUUUCGCUACAGUCACGUUUAAAGCGCGCCCUAUUCUCUAAUUAUUUGGACAUCAGAUUCCCAUGAAAGAUUUAGAUUUCCCACCAAUUUUUCCUCCAAUACACUUUUAAUUCUUUUUCAGAGAACCUGACUAAGCUAAGGGAAAAAACCCUCGCAGCCCUCCUCAUCGCUGAGAACAACCAGCCCUCUCUCGCGGCCCGCUCUCGCAACCAUCCAUCGAUGCUGCCUCCGUCGGCGCACCCUCCAUUGGUGCGCCCUCCGUCGGUGCCACUCUCGCUCGCAAGGCCUCCCUCGGCGGUCACUCUCUCUCGCUCCUCCCUCAAUCGUUGCUCCACCCUCAAUCGACGCUCAAUCCUCACCAUAACACAAGAAGCUACAGAUUUAUUCUCUGUCUGUUUCAAUGUAUGCAAAUUUGUUUGUUGGAGCCACAACUCCGUCACCUCCUGAGAUUCCCCUUUCUCUGUUUUAGUUACAUGGAAAUUUUUGCUAUGGCUUUGAGUUUAACUAUUGGUGGAGGCAUGAGAAAUUGGACUGCUAACCCCAGAAGAUGAGUUUCAUUUGCAUUGGCUAAUGCUCAUCGUAAAUGCUUGCCAUGAAAUCUGGCUGUUUAAUGUAUCGAUACUUUUCCUUGCCUCACUGACCUCAACUGAUCUGGUAUAUGAUGCAAACAGCUCUAGGAUGGGGCGAUGUUGACCCAAUGUGGAUACAGAUUCAAGUCCUGAGAAUGUAAAAAUGCUGAUUGGGUUGGCGAAUGAGAUGUUGAAGCAGGAGAAUGUAGAGUCAGUGCUGUUUGGAGGGAAGCGGAUCGGCGAGCAAAGUAAUUUCGAGAAACUUGACUGGUUCGUUGGAGAACUCUUCCAAGAUAAUCAGAGGAGGAGCUGUAGAAUAACUCCCACUGUUGCUUUCAAGCAAGCUAGCCCAAAAGCGACCUAAUUCAUGGACCAACACUUGCAAGAAUCAACAUAAAGAAAAAUUAAUGGAAGAGAAAAAAAUAAGUGGCUAAUGACUUUGGUCAACUGGGUGAUGGAACUGAGGAGCGAAGGAAAUAUCCAAAGAAAGUGAAGAAAUUAGAGUCAGAGUUCAUGAAAUUUGUGUCCUACGAAGCACAUUGUUCUGCUUGCAUUGUAGAGCCUCGUGAAAAUGAUGGUACCAUUUCAACUGGGAGGCUCUGGAUUUGGGGACAAAACAGGUAAUACCUAUAUAACUUUAAAUAGUUCGUAAUAUAUUAUUGAUUCAUCAAUAUUCAUCAUCGUCAUCUGCUUGUUUAUUCUAGGGAGCAAAUCUUCCUAGAUUAUUCUAGGGGGCCUUCAAACCUAAUACAGUAAGUAUAAAUGUCUUAAGAGAUUGAUAUAAAAAUCGUGCAGGAUUUAUUGUAUUUUCCCUAAUUGUUUUAUAAUUUGCUUACCUUCUGUUUUUUCGUUGUUUAUAUGAUCAUACUUGCAGAUUAUUUGUGAAGUUUGGGGUGAUUCAAUAUCACAUUUCUUAAUUCUCUUUUUAAAAAUUCUUUUUUGUUUAUGUUUGUAAAUUUCGUGUAGGUGGUCGUUGCAUGUAUAGAGAUGACAUGGUUGUAGGCUUUUACCAAGUAUAGGAACAUAAAUUUGAGUGUUUACAAAUUGGAUUUUUAAUUUGUUUUAUUUUAUUUUCUUUGAUC